UACGUAGGGGGCAAGCGUUGUCCGGAAUCAUUGGGCGUAAAGAGCGUGUAGGCGGCUCGAUAAGUCCGCUGUGAAAGUCCAGGGCUCAACCCUGGAAGGCCGGUGGAAACUGUCGGGCUAGAGUCCGGAAGAGGCAAGUGGAAUUCCCGGUGUAGCGGUGAAAUGCGCAGAUAUCGGGAGGAACACCAAUGGCGAAGGCAGCUUGCUGGGACGGUACUGACGCUGAGGCGCGAAAGCCAGGGGAGCAAACGGG
Molecule: ribosomal RNA, 253 nt
Filed under: uncultured bacterium
Lineage: Bacteria
Description: partial 16S ribosomal RNA
Rfam family: Bacterial small subunit ribosomal RNA
Source: RNAcentral